UCAUACAAGAAACCCAAAUCAAUAAUCAUCCGGCGUAAAGAGUGGCCAUAUGAUAUCCUUAUUGACUAAGAUCAAAACGAAACCAAGCUGUCAUAAGCCAAAGCUCCCCCUAAGCCCACCACCAAAACCAUCUUAGUCCACACGAUCAAUUUAAACCCACGAAAGCCAGGACCCAAACUGGGAUUAGAUACCCCACUAUGCCUGGCCCUAAAUCUAGAUAUCUCCCACACUCACAUUAUCCGCCUGGGAACUACGAGCACAAACGCUUAAAACCCUAAGGACUUGGCGGUGCCCCAAACCCACCUAGAGGAGCCUGUUCUAUAACCGAUAAUCCACGAUUCACCCAACCACCUCUUGCCAAUACAGCCUACAUACCGCCGUCGCCAGCCCACCUCAAUGAAAGAGCAACAGUGAGCUCAACAGUCCACACUAACAAGACAGGUCAAGGUAUAGCCUAUGAGGUGGAAGAAAUGGGCUACAUUUCCUAGCAUAGGACAUACGAAAAAGGGCAUGAAAACUGCCCUUAGAAGGAGGAUUUAGCAGUAAGAUAAGAUCAUAUUUGCUUAUCUUAAACUGGGCCCGGGGCACGUACAUACCGCCCGUCACCCUCUUCAUAAGCCAUCAUACCCACAAACAUAUUACUUAUACGGCUAUUUCAGAUGAGGUAAGUCGUAACAA
This 678-nucleotide ribosomal RNA is filed under the name Xenoperdix udzungwensis. Its description in RNAcentral is "partial 12S ribosomal RNA". It matches the Rfam family "Bacterial small subunit ribosomal RNA", at positions 521 to 1494 of the family's 1533-position model. The record is from RNAcentral. Lineage: Eukaryota; Metazoa; Chordata; Aves; Galliformes; Phasianidae.